Molecule: ribosomal RNA, 510 nt
Filed under: uncultured bacterium
Lineage: Bacteria
Description: partial 16S ribosomal RNA
Source: RNAcentral
GGAGUUAGCCGGUGCUUCUUCUGUGAGUGAUGUCCUUCCUGCCGGCUAUUAACCCGCAGGCCUUCUUCCUCACUGAAAGUGCUUUACAACCCGAAGGCCUUCUUCACACACGCGGCAUGGCUGGAUCAGGGUUGCCCCCAUUGUCCAAUAUUCCCCACUGCUGCCUCCCGUAGGAGUCUGGGCCGUGUCUCAGUCCCAGUGUGGCUGAUCAUCCUCUCAGACCAGCUACGGAUCGUCGCCUUGGUGAGCCGUUACCUCACCAACCAGCUAAUCCGACAUAGGCUCAUCCGAUAGCGCGAGGCCCGAAGGUCCCCCGCUUUCCCCCGUAGGGCGUAUGCGGUAUUAGCCUGGGUUUCCCCAGGUUAUCCCCCGACUACCGGGGCAGAUUCCUAUGCAUUACUCACCCGUCCGCCGCUCGCCACCAGGGAGCAAGCUCCCCGUGCUGCCGCUCGACUUGCAUGUGUUAGGCCUGCCGCCAGCGUUCAAUCUGAGCCAGAAUCAAACUACUGA